Molecule: ribosomal RNA, 402 nt
Filed under: Bacteroidota bacterium
Lineage: Bacteria; Pseudomonadati; Bacteroidota
Description: Bacteroidetes bacterium partial 16S ribosomal RNA
Rfam family: Bacterial small subunit ribosomal RNA
Source: RNAcentral
UGGGGAAUUUUGCACAAUGGGGGAAACCCUGAUGCAGCGACGCCGCGUGAUUUAGAAGGCCUUCGGGUUGUAAAAAUCUUUUUUACGGGAUGAAAAUGACAGUACCGUAAGAAUAAGGUCCGGCUAAAUACGUGCCAGCAGCCGCGGUAAUACGUAUGGACCGAGCGUUGUCCGGAAUCAUUGGGCGUAAAGGGUACGUAGGCGGCCUAGUAAGUUAGAAGUUAAAGAAUAUAGCUCAACUAUAUAAAGCUUUUAAAACUGCUAGGCUUGAGAGAUGGAAGGGAAAGUGGAAUUCCUGGUGUAGCGGUGAAAUGCGCAGAUAUUAGGAAGAAUACCGGUGGCGAAGGCGACUUUCUGGUCAUCAUCUGACGCUGAGGUACGAAAGCGUGGGUAGCAAACAGG